GUCCCUUCGGGGACAUCCGAUAAAAUUGGAACGAUACAGCGAAGAUUAGCAUGGCCCCUGUGCAAGGAUGACACUCACAAAUCGAGAAAUGGUCCAAAUUUUU
This is a small nuclear RNA of Papaver somniferum (opium poppy), 103 nucleotides long. Lineage: Eukaryota; Viridiplantae; Streptophyta; Magnoliopsida; Ranunculales; Papaveraceae. The record is from RefSeq and is a predicted model, not a curated record.